Molecule: long non-coding RNA, 658 nt
Filed under: Heterocephalus glaber (naked mole-rat)
Lineage: Eukaryota; Metazoa; Chordata; Mammalia; Rodentia; Bathyergidae
Description: lncRNA (ENSHGLG00100051003.1)
Source: RNAcentral
CCCUAUUUGAGUGUUAAGCAUUUUAAUGAGCCCAGGAGGGGGUGGGGGAAAGAGACUGGGUGCUGCGUGGUGCAUUUCAAGAGACCACCCAGCCAGCUGGGGUUCUGUGGCUCCUUUGUAAAUUAAAUACGUACAGACUGGGCAGGCACACUCUCAGCCCCUCCCUCUGUCCUAUUCCUCCGGUGGCUGCGAGCUGCAAGGCGCCAGGCGAGCUGGAACCAACACAUCUCAAUCAGCCAAGUUCUGAACCCAGAACAUCACUAACCGGCUCAGGCCUGCGUCCCCACAGCCUACCUCAGGGGAGACUGCUGGGGCACCCUUGAAGAGAAGGUGUGGAGAGCGCAGGACUGGCCAGGCCUGGGGACCCUACAGCAGUCCCUAACUUAGGCUGCCUUCGUCAGGCAUUUUGUUCAGCGAUAGGAUGCUGCCUAAUGGAGCUCCGGGCCUUGAGCCAGCCUCCUCAGCCUCCCACUCUGCUCCUGAGAUAUCCACACCAGCCACGCCAGUGAGCCAGGAGGUGGCUGCAGACACAGCUGGGAAAGGGGCAGGAUCCAUCCACCUUGGAGCCACUUUCUGGGCCACAUCCACCUUCUGAGUCAAAUCUUAGGCCAGGACCAAUGGGAACGGGUACCCAGGAUAUCAAGGACCUGGACAGGAC